This is a small nucleolar RNA of Callithrix jacchus (white-tufted-ear marmoset), 75 nucleotides long. Ensembl annotates it as small nucleolar RNA, C/D box 114-13. Its record names the gene SNORD114-13. Lineage: Eukaryota; Metazoa; Chordata; Mammalia; Primates; Cebidae. The record is from Ensembl.
UGGACCACUGAUGACCACCGGUGGCGUGUGAGUCAUGCACAGUGAAUGCCCCGUGUCUGGAACUCCGAGGUCCAA